This 902-nucleotide ribosomal RNA is filed under the name uncultured Veillonellaceae bacterium. RNAcentral describes it as "bacterial SSU rRNA". It matches the Rfam family "Bacterial small subunit ribosomal RNA", at positions 8 to 881 of the family's 1533-position model. Lineage: Bacteria; Bacillati; Bacillota; Negativicutes; Veillonellales; Veillonellaceae. The record is from RNAcentral.
AGAGUUUGAUCCUGGCUCAGGACGAACGCUGGCGGCGCGCUUAACACAUGCGAGCCGAACGAAGAGCGAUGGAAGCUUGCUUCUAUCAAUCUUAGUGGCGAACGGGUGAGUAACGCGUAAUCAACCUGCCCUUCAGAGGGGGACAACAGUUGGAAACGACUGCUAAUACCGCAUACGAUCUAAUCUCGGCAUCGAGGAUAGAUGAAAGGUGGCCUCUACAUGUAAGCUAUCACUGAAGGAGGGGAUUGCGUCUGAUUAGCUAGUUGGAGGGGUAACGGCCCACCAAGGCGAUGAUCAGUAGCCGGUCUGAGAGGAUGAACGGCCACAUUGGGACUGAGACACGGCCCAGACUCCUACGGGAGGCAGCAGUGGGGAAUCUUCCGCAAUGGACGAAAGUCUGACGGAGCAACGCCGCGUGAGUGAUGACGGUCUUCGGGUUGUAAAGCUCUGUUAAUCGGGACGAAAGGCCUUCUUGCAAAUAGUGAGAAGGAUUGACGGUACCGGAAUAGAAAGCCACGGCUAACUACGUGCCAGCAGCCGCGGUAAUACGUAGGUGGCAAGCGUUGUCCGGAAUUAUUGGGCGUAAAGCGCGCGCAGGCGGAUCAGUCAGUCUGUCUUAAAAGUUCGGGGCUUAACCCCGUGNAUGGGAUGGAAACUGCUGAUCUAGAGUAUCGGAGAGGAAAGUGGAAUUCCUAGUGUAGCGGUGAAAUGCGUAGAUAUUAGGAAGAACCCAGUGGCGAAGGCGACUUUCUGGACGAAAACUGACGCUGAGGCGCGAAAGCCAGGGGAGCGAACGGGAUUAGAUACCCCGGUAAUCCUGGCCGUAAACGAUGGGUACUAAGGGGUGGAAGUAUCGACCCCUUCUGUGCCUGAGUUAACGCAUAGUACCCCGCCUGGGGAGC